RNAcentral lists this unclassified non-coding RNA (332 nucleotides) under soil metagenome. Its description in RNAcentral is "partial contains 5.8S ribosomal RNA, internal transcribed spacer 2, and large subunit ribosomal RNA". The stretch from base 1 to 120 matches the Rfam family "5.8S ribosomal RNA", at positions 35 to 154 of the family's 154-position model. The record is from RNAcentral.
GAUGAAGAACGUAGCGAAAUGCGAUAAGCAGUGUGAAUUGCAGAAUUCAGUGAAUCAUCGAAUCUUUGAACGCACAUUGCGCCCUUUGGUAUUCCUUAGGGCAUGCCUGUUCGAGCGUCAUUUAAACCUUCAAGCUAAGCUUGGUGUUGGGUGACUGUCCGCUUCACUGCGGACUCGCCUCAAAAUUAUUGGCGGCCGGUACAUUGGCUUCGAGCGCAGCAGAAACGCGAACUCGGGCCCGUCGUAUUGGCUCCCAGAAGCUAUCUUCACAAUUUUGACCUCGGAUCAGGUAGGGAUACCCGCUGAACUUAAGCAUAUCAAUAAGCGGAGGA